RNAcentral lists this ribosomal RNA (301 nucleotides) under uncultured bacterium. Its description in RNAcentral is "partial 16S ribosomal RNA". It matches the Rfam family "Bacterial small subunit ribosomal RNA", at positions 509 to 808 of the family's 1533-position model. The record is from RNAcentral.
CAGCCGCCGCGGUAAUACGUAGGUCCCGAGCGUUGUCCGGAUUUAUUGGGCGUAAAGCGAGCGCAGGCGGUUUGAUAAGUCUGAAGUUAAAGGCUGUGGCUCAACCAUAGUUCGCUUUGGAAACUGUCAAACUUGAGUGCAGAAGGGGAGAGUGGAAUUCCAUGUGUAGCGGUGAAAUGCGUAGAUAUAUGGAGGAACACCGGUGGCGAAAGCGGCUCUCUGGUCUGUAACUGACGCUGAGGCUCGAAAGCGUGGGGAGCGAACAGGAUUAGAUACCCGCGUAGUCCCUGUCUCUUAUACA